GACGAACGCUGGCGGCGUGCUUAACACAUGCAAGUCGAACGGAAAGGCCCUGCUUUUGUGGGGUGCUCGAGUGGCGAACGGGUGAGUAACACGUGAGUAACCUGCCCUUGACUUUGGGAUAACUUCAGGAAACUGGGGCUAAUACCGGAUAGGAGCUCCUGCUGCAUGGUGGGGGUUGGAAAGUUUCGGCGGUUGGGGAUGGACUCGCGGCUUAUCAGCUUGUUGGUGGGGUAGUGGCUUACCAAGGCUUUGACGGGUAGCCGGCCUGAGAGGGUGACCGGCCACAUUGGGACUGAGAUACGGCCCAGACUCCUACGGGAGGCAGCAGUAGGGAAUAUUGCACAAUGGGCGGAAGCCUGAUGCAGCAACGCCGCGUGCGGGAUGACGGCCUUCGGGUUGUAAACCGCUUUCGCCUGUGACGAAGCGUGAGUGACGGUAAUGAGUAAAGAAGCACCGGCUAACUACGUG
This 468-nucleotide ribosomal RNA is filed under the name uncultured bacterium. RNAcentral describes it as "partial 16S ribosomal RNA". It matches the Rfam family "Bacterial small subunit ribosomal RNA", at positions 28 to 507 of the family's 1533-position model. The record is from RNAcentral.